RNAcentral lists this ribosomal RNA (253 nucleotides) under uncultured bacterium. Its description in RNAcentral is "partial 16S ribosomal RNA". It matches the Rfam family "Bacterial small subunit ribosomal RNA", at positions 524 to 776 of the family's 1533-position model. The record is from RNAcentral.
UACGAGGGGGGCGAGCGUUGUUCGGAAUUAUUGGGCGUAAAGGGUGCGUAGGCGGUUUGGUAAGUCUUAUGUGAAAUCUACAGGCUCAACUUGUAGUCUGCAUGAGAAACUGCCGGGCUUGAGUAUGGGAGAGGUGAGUGGAAUUCCUGGUGUAGCGGUGAAAUGCGUAGAUAUCAGGAGGAACACCUGUGGCGAAAGCGGCUCACUGGACCAUAACUGACGCUGAGGCACGAAAGCUAGGGGAGCAAACAGG